Molecule: RNA transcript, 4645 nt
Organism: Perognathus longimembris pacificus (Pacific pocket mouse)
Lineage: Eukaryota; Metazoa; Chordata; Mammalia; Rodentia; Heteromyidae
Gene: Tmem200c
Gene name: transmembrane protein 200C
Exons: 3
Source: RefSeq, a predicted model, not a curated record
CGCGGCCACCGGGGGCCGGCGAGGAGCGCGGCGGGAGGAGCGGCCGGGGAGGAGCCGGAGGGAGGAGGAGCGCCGGAGGGGAGCCGGGCUCCGCGGCGGCGGCGCGCAGGAUGCCGAGGACCUGACACUUCUUGGAAACUCCUGGAAAUGGCUCCCGCCACGGCACCCGAGGGGGCUGCGAGCCGCGGGCGGACGAUCGCCCCCGCCGGGCAGCCGGGCAGCGCUCGCGUGCGGGGCCCCGAGGCGCCGUCCCUGCGCCCCGCCGUCGGCUCGGGCUGAAAAGUUUCUCCAUGCUUCCUUUGUGUCGCCCGAGCGCCCGUUCUCCAGCCCGCAGCUGCUCGGGUCUCCCAGGCGGGAGGAGGAGGUGACGGAGAGCUAGUGGGCAGCUGGCGCCCCCCGAGGGGCAGCCUCGGCCUCCACCCCUGCCCCGGGGGUCGCCAUGAUCGCCACCGGCGGCCUGCUGAGGAUUUCCGCCCGGAAGCAGGAUCCGCUCCGGCCGCCCAGCCAGCUCCCCAAGCGCAAGAGGAAAGCCAAGAGGAGACGCAAGAACGACGUGGUGGUGGUGAAGGGCAAACUCAAGCUGUGCUCCGUCUCCGGCCUCAUCGCCCUCUGUGGGAUCCUCGUGCUUUUGGUGGGCAUCGCCAUGGCCGUGGUGGGCUACUGGCCCAAGACCAACGGGGCGCCGCGGGAGGGCGCCAGGCAGCCCGCGGGCAGCGGCCUCCGCGUCCCCCCGUCGGCGGCCAACCUCAGCCGUGGGGCGUCCGGAGGCCACGCGAGGACCCCAGGGGGCGUCAACUUCAGCUCCGCGGGCGCCCCCCCGGGCACGCCUCCCGCGCCUCCCGCGCGCCCGGCCUCCGCCGCCGCCGCCGCCGCCUCCUCCGCGUCCACGGCCGCGUCGGUGGGCUUCUUCUUCCGCAUCUUCUCGGGCUAUCUGCACUCGGACAAGCUCAAGGUCUUCGGGCCCCUCAUCAUGGGCAUCGGCAUCUUCCUCUUCAUCUGCGCCAACGCGGUGCUCCACGAAAACCGGGACAAGAAGACGAAGGUCAUCAACCUGCGGGACCUCUACUCCACCGUCAUCGACGUGCACAGCCUCCGCGCCAAAGACCUGGCGGCCGCCGCCGCCGCCGCCGCCGCCUCGGCCUCCGCGCCGGCCUCCGCCACCCCCGGAGCGGCGCCGCUCAACGGCUUCCUCAGCUACGCGCAGUCCCGGGGGCUGGAGCUGAAGCCCGGCGGCUGUGCGGGCUCCAGAGACGCCUUCGGGGCCGCGGCGCUGCUGGCCCGGGGCUCCUGGCCCCAUCCCGGGGCUGCCAGCGGCGGCGGGGCCCUGGGUCCGGCGUCCCCCCCCGACCCGGAGGCAUCCCCCGGCUGCCCGCGGGAGCCCCCGAGCCUGGCCGAGGCCGUCUACAGCAUCUACCGCGAGCGCUCCUGCUUGGCCAGUCGUCGCCGGACCGUGAUCGCCGCGGCGGCUGCGGCCCCCGCCGCCCGCACCACGGCCGCCAGCGGCGGCAGCAGCCCGGCGCCCGGCAGCCCGCCCGAGAGCUGGGGGCGCCAGAGCACCGCCAGCUCGCUCGUGGGCUCCUCACUGAGCGCCCUGGCGCUGGUGCCCUUCCAGGGGGACCGCGACGGGGACCGCGACGGGGACGGGGACGCCCAAGGCGCUAGCUGCAGCUGGCAUCGGCCACCCGGCGAGCGCGGGGCGCGGGAGAUCCCGCGCGGCGAGCUGGACCUGAGCCUGACGGAGCUCCGCGGCGCCGAGGGCGGCGCGCGCUGGGCGGCCGGCGAGCCGGGGGCGCCGGGGGAGCCCGCGGAGGGCGCGACGCCGGCGCGCGCCGCCAGGGGGCAGGGCGGACGCCUGCCCAGGACCGGCGGGAAGGCGACCUGGCGGCGCCGCAGCACCAGCGGCCUCCCGGACUACCGGGCGCCGCCCUCGCCCGAGCCCCCGCCCUCCAGCAGCCGGGCCGCCGGGGACGCCGCUGCUCCUCCGGACCGGGACGCCGACCCCGCGUCCCCCCUGCGAUCGGACGACUCGCCCCGCGCCCGGCGGGACUCGCGGAGCUCGCGGGCGGAGGAGCCGUCUGGCAGCCGCCACAAGGGCUACACCGCGCUGCGGGAGGCCGACACCUCGGUGGAGUCGGUGGUGGAGGAGGCCGGGGUCGGUCAGAGCCCCGCCGAGGGGCCCGGCCAGGAGGCCCCCGAGGCCCGGUCGCCUCGGGGGGUGCAGAGGCACUUCACAAACAAGGAGAAACUCCUCAUGGUGUCCAGGUCGCCGGCCGAGGCGGGGGAGGGCCAGGACCGCGACCCGGAGGGCAGCGCUGGCGUUUAGGGGAAGGGGGGAGAAGACGGCCGGCCGGAGCCCCCGGAAACCAUCCCAUAGCCAAAGAGCUGAAGAAUGUCAUGCUUGAAUCGUGUCCGCAAGAUUCCUGUAGAUAACUCCAAGCAAUCUUUUCAAAGCAAACUAGUCAUUUCUUUUUUUUUUUUUUUAAUGUCCGAUGGUGAUUGUAUGUUCCAUGAAAACCAAUUGUAUUAAAAGGGAAAUCACCUUUGAGGUUUCUUCCUUCAAGAAGGGAAUGAGUUUCAUUAAAUGGAUAUGGAAGUUAUAUUUUUUCUAUUAUGCAACCACAACUUGGGGAGUUCAUCCCUAGUCCGCUGUGCUCUGCUACUCUCCAGACUUAAGAACGGUGUAUUCACCCUGUGCCCUCUGUCUGUGAUGUAAAAAGCACUGAGUCCAUAGGGCUUGAGCCACAUGAGUUAGUUCUGUGUCAGCCACUCUAGCCUUCACCCAGCAGCAAAGGUCCUGGAGACCUUCAACCACCUGAAAAUAUAUUGAAUGGGCUCCCAAUCUUAGCCCUUCAGUGAUGCCAACUGAGGCAGAGCCCUGCUUGCUGUCAACAGAACGUUUGGCUAAUGCAGCACCAAGAUAACCUCAAAUGACUGGAAGAGUUUGCACUGAAAGUGUCAUAAAGAUGUGCCUGUGCCCAUAACCUGUGCUAUGGUCCCACCUGGUGACAAGUCCCAGAAAAGGCAUGGAACCUGGUUCUUAAAAGCAAAAAGGAAGCCAGGGGGCAGGUCCAAGGGUGGCAGAAAGAAAAGGGCCCUGUAUAAAGUUCAAAGAAAGAUAGUCAGGCUAGUGUCUCUACAUAUACUUGUACCUCAUUAAAGAGCACUUGCUUAUAGAUAGCUUCAUAUGUAGACAAGAGUUUUACAAAGAAAAAAUUACAGUAGCUUUUGUUUCUUAAGAAAUAUCCUUUAAGCAAAUGCAUGGCUAGAAGUUAACUUGUACAUUUUUUAAUAUAUGAGAAAUUGACAUUGUAUUAAUGAACCCAGUUGGUCCUACUAAAUAUUAAACAUCUAAUAAGGUUGAAAACAAUUCCAUUGAAGUUGAGAAAGUCAGUUAUCUCUGAGCUAUGUCUAUGCUUUCAAAGAAUCAAAUUCUAAAGGUAGUGAUUACUCACCAAGGUAUUAUGUCAAUUGAGGAAAACUAGGCCAAAUAAACUAGCUUCCAUGUAGGCCUGGUGCCAUUCCUUUCCUUUAUUGGCAUAAUUAUACUAUUAUACUGAAUUUUGUAGAGAUAUAACUUACAGAAAAUAAUCACAUCUUUAAGCAGCCAUGGACCACACUGCUGACCUUUUGUUAAAAUACACAAAUCGUUUUCAGAUCAUUUCAAGAUCUAUUCUAUGCUGCAUAUGUAUGGUGAAUUACAUAGGCAUGUUAUGUAAUUCACAUGUUAGGGUCAGAGGACAGAAUGACCCAUAAGACACCCCUUCUGACCACACAUACCGGCAGAGGUUCAUUUUGAGAGAGUCACAUUAACCAGAAAUUUCCAUGUACUGUAACUCUUGCAAGAGAGUUAUGUGGGCCUGCCAUCAAGCCCAGAGAAGGGAAGAAAUGAUCAAAUGUGUACAGAAAUAUGGAAAGUAGAAUCAGUAGAUGGGACGAGAAGGAACCAGCAUGAGCAAUAGCAGAGGCAAAACAAAUGCAAUACCCUAGAUUUUCACAGAAUGGUUUAGCUUUGCUUUCCUCUAGGAUUUCCAGAAGGACAGUGCUCACUUUGUGGGGGGAAAUUCAACUGUACAUUUCUUUAACAAUAGACAUAGGUAGAUAAUCUCCUUUAUAUUCCCACUGUUGCAUAUGUUGCAUAUGUAUUAACUGUUUGUAACUGACUUGACCAGUACCACUUCCUUAACUGGGCAGUGUCAGUGCCUAGAGCAAGCAAGCCCUAUUCCGAUUGGAUUGUCUUUAUGAACAAGGACAGUUUUUGUCGAAUUAUAUAUUGCUUUAAGAUUGCCAUUUAUUUUACACUUUUAAAUUCUGGAAGUCAUUUUCCAAGAUGCUUGAAUAAUAAGGUAAAACUGGGUGAAAAAAUGGAUUCCUUGAUAGUGCUGUUGGUGUUAUAUCUGGGGUGGCUAGAAACACUGUGCUCACCUCGGUACUGUGAAGACUGGAGGAACAUAAAUUGGGGGCUCCUCUAUCAGACUGCAGGUCAUUUUGCUGAAUCUAGACAUAAAAACUGAAUGUAUUUCUACAGAUUUCUACAUCAAUUUACAACAUCGUAUAUGUCAGAGCAAAAAAAAAUCUAUUUUUGUUAAUAGCAAAACUCCAUUUCUUUUUGUACUCAUGUAAGUGUUCACUGCAAAAGGGAAGCUAA